Macaca mulatta (Rhesus monkey) is the source of this 389-nucleotide non-coding RNA. The record is from RefSeq and is a predicted model, not a curated record. Lineage: Eukaryota; Metazoa; Chordata; Mammalia; Primates; Cercopithecidae.
UGCCAAGAUGCACCACAAAUGGGAUUCUGCCUCCUGGUCAUGAAUUAUCUCAUCUUUGCUAAUGCUCUGGUCUGUUUGCUUGCUUACAUAAAAUGCAGCUCAUCCAUAUUAAUCUACAUCAAAAAUAAUUCUCCAAGGAAAAGUAUCUCAAGAUGACUGAAGGCAAAUUGUCAGUGAUUAAAAUGCUCUGGAACCUCAUCACCACUUCAACAAAUUGUGUGUAACAUGUAUUUAUUAUGAACAAGUUCUUUGUGAUCAUAGCUCAGAAGAUACACAAACCAUAGUGAAAGGUGUUGGUUUCUUUAGCUUCUACAUCUGUGGUGAAUAAAAGCAAUCUGAGACUUUAAAGUAUCAAAUAAAUGAGUUCCCAUGUUGCUAACCCCUAGAAA